UUAAGGUUGCACCUCCGCCUCGGGCUUCGGCCUUUGCCCGUCAAAAAAAAAGAUUAGUCAAAAAUAAAUUGAAGAAAUCACGAAAGAGCAAAUUUGUCAUUUCUUCCUUGAAGUCAUCUCUGAAGAGUAUAAAGCGAAGUAGCAUUAUGAAGUUCAAGCGAAAGACUUCCUGUUCACGCAGAAGAUCACCUGCUUUAAGCGAAGGUUUCGUUACCUAUUUGCGUGAGCGCCGACAAAACAAUUCAAAUGUGGCAACGAUCCUUUCGAUCCAAAAUGGUGCCAGAGAAUGGAUGAAUCUUUCUGAAGAGCAUAAGGAGCAAAUGCGUGCGAAGGCACAGAAACGAAAGCUGAGACAUCGAUGAAAUUUAAAUGGCCCUAUUGAUGAUGAUGAUCCGGUUUUAAAUUAACCAUCCCGCUGGCCUUUUAUCUGAAAUCCUAAAAGUAUAUAGGAAUCCUAAUAAGAAUAGUAAAGAAGUAAAGUAAUAUGUAAUAAGAAAGUAAUAAGAAAGAAGUAAAUCCUAAUAAGAGUAUAACCUUUUGAAAACCAUUUGAAAUAAAUAAAAUGUAUAUGAUUUAGUUUUCCUAAGCUAAUCAAGAAUAUUAUUGUAAA
Drosophila bipectinata is the source of this 610-nucleotide long non-coding RNA. RefSeq lists it as uncharacterized. The record is from RefSeq and is a predicted model, not a curated record. Lineage: Eukaryota; Metazoa; Arthropoda; Insecta; Diptera; Drosophilidae.